This 474-nucleotide ribosomal RNA is filed under the name uncultured bacterium. RNAcentral describes it as "bacterial SSU rRNA". It matches the Rfam family "Bacterial small subunit ribosomal RNA", at positions 99 to 589 of the family's 1533-position model. The record is from RNAcentral.
CGAACGGGUGAGUAACACGUGAGCAACCUGCCCUUCAGAGGGGGACAACAGUUGGAAACGACUGCUAAUACCGCAUAAGACCACGGUGUGGCAUCACACAGAGGUCAAAGGAGAAAUCCGCUGAAGGAUGGGCUCGCGUCCAAUUAGCUAGAUGGUGAGGUAACGGCCCACCAUGGCGACGAUUGGUAGCCGGACUGAGAGGUUGAUCGGCCACAUUGGGACUGAGACACGGCCCAGACUCCUACGGGAGGCAGCAGUGGGGAAUAUUGCACAAUGGAGGAAACUCUGAUGCAGCGACGCCGCGUGAGGGAAGAAGGUCUUCGGAUUGUAAACCUCUGUUGUCAGGGACGAUAAUGACGGUACCUGACGAGGAAGCCACGGCUAACUACGUGCCAGCAGCCGCGGUAAAACGUAGGUGGCAAGCGUUGUCCGGAAUUACUGGGUGUAAAGGGAGCGCAGGCGGGAGAGCAAGUU